This 253-nucleotide ribosomal RNA is filed under the name uncultured bacterium. RNAcentral's name for it is "partial 16S ribosomal RNA". It matches the Rfam family "Bacterial small subunit ribosomal RNA", at positions 524 to 776 of the family's 1533-position model. The record is from RNAcentral.
UACGGAGGAUCCAAGCGUUAUCCGGAAUCAUUGGGUUUAAAGGGUCCGUAGGCGGUCUGGUAAGUCAGUGGUGAAAGCCCAUCGCUCAACGGUGGAACGGCCAUUGAUACUGCCAGACUUGAAUUAUCAGGAAGUAACUAGAAUAUGUAGUGUAGCGGUGAAAUGCUUAGAGAUUACAUGGAAUACCAAUUGCGAAGGCAGGUUACUACUGAUGGAUUGACGCUGAUGGACGAAAGCGUGGGUAGCGAACAGG